AGCAGCCGCGGUAAUUCCAGCUCCAAUAGCGUAUAUUAGAGUUGUUGACAGUUAAAAAGCUCGUAGUUGAAUUUCGGGGUUAGUAGGCUGGUCGUGCCACAGGUAUGUACUGGUCUUACUGAUUCCUCCUUCCUGAUGAACCGUAAUGCCAUUAAUUUGGUGUUGCGGGGGAAACUGGACUGUUACUUUAGAAAAAAUUAGAGUGUUUAAAGCAGGCUUAACGCUUGAAUACAUUAGCAUGGAAUAACGAAAUAGGACGAUCGAUCUUAUUUUGUUGGUUUCUAGGAUUGACGUAAUGAUUAAUAGGGAUAGUUGGGGGCAUUAGUAUUCAAUUGUCAGAGGUGAAAUUCUUGGAUUUAUUGAAGACUAACUACUGCGAAAGCAUUUGCCAAGGAUGUUUUCAUUAAUCAAGAACGAAAGUUAGGGGAUCGAAGACGAUCAGAUACCGUCGUAGUCUUAACCAUAAACUAUGCCGACUAGGGAUCGGAUGAUGUUAAUUUUUUAAUGGCUCAUUCGGCGC
Molecule: ribosomal RNA, 520 nt
Filed under: uncultured Glomus
Lineage: Eukaryota; Fungi; Glomeromycota; Glomeromycetes; Glomerales; Glomeraceae
Description: SSU rRNA
Rfam family: Eukaryotic small subunit ribosomal RNA
Source: RNAcentral